AAGGUUUUAAGUUAAUUAAACUAAUAGCCUUCAAAGCUAUAAAUAUAGAUAGAUUCCUCUUUAAACCUUA
RNAcentral lists this transfer RNA (70 nucleotides) under Oliarces clara. Its description in RNAcentral is "tRNA-Trp". The record is from RNAcentral. Lineage: Eukaryota; Metazoa; Arthropoda; Insecta; Neuroptera; Ithonidae.